GACGUAGGGCGCGAGCGUUGUCCGGAUUUAUUGGGCGUAAAGAGCUCGUAGGCGGCUUGUUACGUCGACUGUGAAAACCUGCGGCUUAACUGUGGGCUUGCAGUCGAUACGGGCAGGCUAGAGUUCGGUAGGGGAGACUGGAAUUCCUGGUGUAGCGGUGAAAUGCGCAGAUAUCAGGAGGAACACCGGUGGCGAAGGCGGGUCUCUGGGCCGAUACUGACGCUGAGGAGCGAAAGCAUGGGGAGCGAACAGG
Molecule: ribosomal RNA, 253 nt
Filed under: uncultured bacterium
Lineage: Bacteria
Description: partial 16S ribosomal RNA
Rfam family: Bacterial small subunit ribosomal RNA
Source: RNAcentral